GCGUGAUUAGUUAAGUGGCAGAACGACGCAUUGCCAAUGCGUAAACGGGAGUCCAAUUCUCCCAUCACGCA
This 71-nucleotide transfer RNA is filed under the name Planctomycetes bacterium GWF2_41_51. Its description in RNAcentral is "tRNA-Gly". It matches the Rfam family "tRNA". Rfam says of the family: Transfer RNA (tRNA) molecules are approximately 80 nucleotides in length. Their secondary structure includes four short double-helical elements and three loops (D, anti-codon, and T loops). The record is from RNAcentral. RNAcentral also lists the same sequence under 1 other name. Lineage: Bacteria; Pseudomonadati; Planctomycetota.